Molecule: long non-coding RNA, 262 nt
Filed under: Phasianus colchicus (ring-necked pheasant)
Lineage: Eukaryota; Metazoa; Chordata; Aves; Galliformes; Phasianidae
Description: lncRNA (ENSPCLG00000006648.1)
Source: RNAcentral
AGAACUUCCUUGGCAACUGGAUGGAUGGAUCUAUCUAUCAAAUGUCAAGGCUCCAAAUUAAAGAGUACCCUGAAUUGGAUGGCUCCUGUCUCUGUACAUCAAGUUUUAAGAAUUCCUUUCUGAAAUAUCAUGCUCUGCCAAUCGGAGGACCCAGAGAGAAUUAACAGAUCCUGCUUCUGCUACAUUAAAAAAACACAACCAUUUAUAGGUAUGUACAUUCCUGUUUUCAUUUUUUGUCUCUUUUUAAUUAUGAUAGGUGCCA